Nyctereutes procyonoides (raccoon dog) is the source of this 1276-nucleotide long non-coding RNA. RefSeq lists it as uncharacterized. The record is from RefSeq and is a predicted model, not a curated record. NCBI's taxonomy places the organism in Eukaryota, Metazoa, Chordata, Mammalia, Carnivora, Canidae. The transcript is spliced from 2 exons.
UAGAGAGGGCAGAGAAGUGAGAACAUGAGCUAUGUUCCGCAAGAUGGCACUUAAAGGGUGAGAAGAGAGGAAUAUAUAUGAGAUGCAGUCUCACACACACCUGACAUGCCUCCUUGCCUUCUGGGAGUGCUCCUCACUCUCCAGAAUACUCAGUGAGGACAAACAAUAUUUUUGAAUUUAGAAUUUAAAUAUCUUCAAAAGCAAGUAACUCGGCAGCUGCUAGAGGAUACAGGAUCUGAGACUCAAAAGAACCAGCAUAAUCUCAGUACUUACCCAGAAACCAGGCAGACUCCUCCAGAAGACAUGAAUCUAAUCAACCUUCUUCAAAGCGACAUCACAGGACUGAAGAAAUAUUCUAAGUAUAGAUGCCUGCACCGGUGCAUGGGUUCAGCUGGUUCCAGUGUCCCUGGCUCGCAUCUCCUGCCAGGCUGCAAACAGGAUGUCCUCUGGGACUGCAGUCAUUGCAAAGCCCAACAGGGAAGGAUCGGCUUCCAGUCUCACUCAGAUGGUUGUUGGCAGGACUCAGUUUCUCCUCGGUUGUUGGAAUGACUAUCUCAGUUCAGACUGGCUGUUGGCCAAGAGUCCACCUUCAGUUCUUUGUCACACCAGUCUCACCAUAGGCCAGCUCACACAUGGCAACUUGCUUCAUUGGAACAAGUACGCCAGGAGCGCCAGAGAGAAUUAAGUAAGGAUGAGGUCACAGUCUUUUAUAACCUAAUGUCUAUAUGACAUCCCAUCACUGCUGUUACUCUUCAGAGAAAGCCUCUUCUAUUCUAGUCCAUUCUUUAGAAGCUAGUCAUUAGGUCCAGCUCACAUAUGGGGAGGGGGGAGGACUAUAUAAAGGUGUUACUAUCAGGAGUUGGGGGCCACUGAGAGCCAUGUCAGAAAGCUGCCUACCAUUGGGAGAGCACUGUAUAUAAAUCUGGGGGGACAGCAUUCCAGAUGUUGGGAAUAGAAAUGCAAAGACCAUAGCAAUUUUGAGGUACAGAAAUGGGGCUGGAAUGAAAUCAGGAAAAGGAAGUGGAGCUUGAAAAGUAGGCAGGAGCCCGAUCCUGGGUCACUUGGAACUGUUCAGGUCUUGGUUGUUUGGAUUUGAUUAGGAGCAGUGAAGACAAUUCCUUGGAAGGAUUUGAGCAGAAGAGGCUAAACUAACCUUUCUUUUAUGAAACUGGAAUGAUAGUAAAUGGCACAGUCUAUUCACUUACUUGGUUUGAUCUACUUUUAAUGACCUUCCUAAGGGGAAGCUGGCAAUUAAAUCCAUGUCAGUUGUUCUCUA